RNAcentral lists this ribosomal RNA (468 nucleotides) under uncultured bacterium. RNAcentral's name for it is "partial 16S ribosomal RNA". It matches the Rfam family "Bacterial small subunit ribosomal RNA", at positions 28 to 507 of the family's 1533-position model. The record is from RNAcentral.
GACGAACGCUGGCGGCGUGCUUAACACAUGCAAGUCGAACGGAAAGGCCCUGCUUUUGUGGGGUGCUCGAGUGGCGAACGGGUGAGUAACACGUGAGUAACCUGCCCUUGACUUUGGGAUAACUUCAGGAAACUGGGGCUAAUACCGGAUAGGAGCUCCUGCUGCAUGGUGGGGGUUGGAAAGUUUCGGCGGUUGGGGAUGGACUCGCGGCUUAUCAGCUUGUUGGUGUGGUAGUGGCUUACCAAGGCUUUGACGGGUAGCCGGCCUGAGAGGGUGACCGGCGACAUUGGGACUGAGAUACGGCCCAGACUCGUACGGGAGGCAGCAGUGGGGAAUAUUGCACAAUGGGCGGAAGCCUGAUGCAGCAACGCCGCGUGCGGGAUGACGGCCUUCGGGUUGUAAACCGCUUUCGCCUGUGACGAAGCGUGAGUGACGGUAAUGGGUAAAGAAGCACCGGCUAACUACGUG